GUUUCCCGCAAGCAGACACAGGCCACUUUCCCUGUGUCUACUCACAAGCUCACCCAAGAAAGAGCCUAUGCCUUCGGGGCUCAUCUCCUCCCUGUCAUCUCUCUCCUCACAACUAAAAGGAAGGCCUAGAACAGCUCCACUCAGGGAAUGAGUGCAGGAGAAUCACCAGGACAUGGUGGGCCAAUGCAGAUUUGGAUUCAGUAGCUCCUGGGUGGUAGGACCUCACAGUCUGCAUCUCUACUAAACUCCAGCUCCUGGUGACCUUGAAUCUACUUUCUGCUGCUGAGAAUUUACCUAUUUUGGAUGCUUCAUGAGACGAUUCCUCUUAGCAAAAGGGCACUGUGUACCCUCCAAGGCUGGAAAUGAUAGGUUUUCGGCGAGGAGUGAAAAUAUUGUGCUGACAGCCCUUUGCCUGUGUAGAGCAGGGUUGUUUACUCGCGCUGGAGCACAGCUUUAUUGAAGCAGAGAGUCAUGGUCCCAUCAUCAGGGUUGCCUAGCAACCAGUCUACGCCACUCCACAGAGUUUCAGAAUGGGCUGGACCACAAGUACCCACUUUGGGGGAUUUCCAGUGACAGUCCUACUCUCACUCCAUCACAUCGCUUCUAAAAUCUGAGUCACAUGGUUCAAAUUUCACAGUACAAAGUGUGUUCUUCAGAUCUGGGGUUCUCUCCAAAAUGGAUAAUCAUUAUUGAUUUUGUAAUGCAAUGCCAAGACCAUCAGUAAGCCUGGACCCACGCCUUCAUCAAUCUACUGUCAGGGAUAGAUUGUGCAUUUUCUGUGUCCCAGUGGGUGCCCCCCCCCCAAAAUAGAGCAGACAAAGCCUGGCCUGCGAGGGUACUGGUUUAGUUCAACAAAUAUCCAUAGAAUGCCCACUUAGGCAAAAUGGCAUAGGGCAGAUUGCCAAAAUCAGGGUUGACUCGGCCUGGAGCCAUGAAGUGGGUCCAACAGGUCUCUGAACUGAGGCAGGAGGCCCCAGGAUCCCGAGGUGUGCUGUAAAGCCUUUGAUGACAGCAUCUUGUGCCUAACACCUGACCACAUCUGAGCCACUAGAGACAGUACCUGAUAAGGAUGCAGAUGCCUGGGCCCUACCUUCCAAAGUUCUGGCUCAGUAGGUCUGGGGGAAGACCAGUAAUCUUCAUUUUAACAAAGACCACUGACGGUUCUGAUGCAGGUGGUCCAAGGACCACACCUGGAGAAACUUCCACCUCUAGGAGCAUCUGGGGUAAAAACUUCACCCAAACUUCCUAAGGUCACAACAUAUCCCCCCCAACAGAGGAAGCAGUAACUUUUGGCCACAGCCCCUAGAGAGGGGAUUUGCCUGGCGUUUCUAUACUGUCCUCUGUCCAAGGACAAAGUGUGCCUUACCCCACAACUGCUUUGUGGUUAAAAGCUUCUAUUGAGGGAUAGUUUAUUUACUUCUAGCACUAUGAAGCAAUAUAGUGAGGUUUUUGUUUCCUUUGAAUCCCAGUCAUUUUAUGCUGCAGAAAAUCUAGAGUUUUUGCCACAGUGGAGGACUCUGCUUAAGGACUACCUAUCUGGGUCUGGUAAUAGCUACCCCAACCCAACGGUCCUGAACGAGUAAUAUGGUUCGACUGUUUCCCUCCCCACCUCCAAAUCUCAUCUUGAAUUGUAGUUCCCAUAAUCCCCACGUGUUGUGGGAGGGACCUGGUGGGAGGUAAUUGAAUCAUGGGGGCGGUUAGCCUCAUGUUGUUCUCCUGAUAGUGAGUUCUCACAAGAUCUGAUGGUUUUAUAAGGGGUUUUUCCUCCUUUUGCUUGGCACUUCUUGCUGCCACCAUGUGAAGAAGGACAUAUUUGCUUCCCCUUAUGCCAUGACUGUAAGUUUCCUGAGGCCUCCUGAGCCAUGUGGAACUGUGAGUCAAUUAAACCUCUUUCCUUUAGAGAUUACCCAGUCUCAGAUAUGUCUUUAUUAGCAGAGUGAGAAUGGGCUAAUACAAUGAGAUAGAACUUAAAUCCCCUGCAUGCUCAUCAGAGGAGGCUCCAUAGAAGAUCAUGGACCUUGAACAAGGUGCAAUGGGGAAGACCAAAGCUGAAGUCCAUCCCCCAGAGGAUGAGAGAAAGGAAGGCUGCAGCUCAGGCAGCUCAGGGAGUCUGAGGCAGCAAACGAGCUCUGGACCUUGAAGUGGGGAGAGGAAGUCCUUUCACCUCAUCACAGUGCUCACAUCACCUCAGAAACCAGGUGGGACACACAGCUGUGACAGGAUACUGGAUCAUACCCCAAGAGAAAGGGGAGCUCCAAUGGAAAAGCCACCUGCAUCAUGAUGCUGCCUGUCACUUGACUGAGCGUUCCUGCUGCCCAGAAGCUCCUGUUGUCCUCCCAACUGACGGGAUGCUCUUGGACAGUGAUGCCAGCUGGAAUUAAGACUGGGUUUCCAAGGCCACUGUGACCACCAUGAUUAAUCAAUCCCUACUGCUAGGGCUCCAACAUGCCUCAGCCAGAAAGCUGUCAUCUCUUUCCUGGGAACAUUCCUUAAGAAAGAACCAUCAUGGGGUUGGAUGAAACUAAACUUGCAAAGAAGGUGAUGUGUAACCAAGUUGGAGUGUGGAGUGUGGGGUCAAAGAUGAUGGCAUUCUGUGUGGAUCCGCAGUGGUAGGAAUGGAGGUGAGGAGGAAGAAAUGAAUCCAGGAGGCAGCGUGACAGAAAACACAGACUUUGGUGACGACAUGUGAGAAGCUGUAAACUGAUAAGAAGAAAAGACGUCUCCAGCACGUUUGGGUUAGUGUCAUCAACCCAUGGAUCCUGCCCACAGCAAGACUUGGCCCAGUCACAACCCCCUUUCUAGCAAUGUGGAGAUAAAUGUCUUCAACAGAAAGGGUUGGGAAUCCCAUGUGACAGCCGAGCUCUGUUCUGCCUUUGACAGAGUCUGAUGCGAAGUGGAUCAUCUCAGGGAUGUGCCUUGCUGGCUUCACCCACCUGGAGCCUCAGGGGAAGUCUCAGGUGGGAGAUGUUAAUUUGAGAGGCCUGGGUAUAAAAGUAAUCCCAAGAUGUCACAAGAUAGAAUACUUUCUCUGAGGCACAAACAGGGAGAAAAACAAGAACAGAACCCCUUAGCAGGACACUCAUAAUAAGAAGAAUUAGGAAAAGAAAAGGGAACCCGGGGUGACACAAAACUGGGGGAGUCUGUUACCACAAGGUAGAUGGCUACCUCCAGUUGGACAAAUUUCCAUGGACCACCAUGCAAUUUCUGGAGAUGCCGCCUUUGAUCCCCUCUUCUCCCUUUGCUCCUCCCUCAUCUCCACACUCAAAGUGCACAUUAUUCAGAUGUCCAGCACGCCCCUAAAUCAACUUGACUUCUCUUGUUCCUUGGCAGAUUCAAGGACCAGCCUUCAUUGGAUUUGGGGUGGAAGCUACAUGCUUGUGUCAAGGGUUGUAAUCCCAAGUCUGGUCCUGUUUUCUGCAAACAAUAUCAUUGUAAACACAUUGAAUGUGUCUGAAUGGGAUUCACAUAACCUAUUCAAAGGUUAAUAUCACAAGACUGAUACUGAGCUGGAAGCUCUGAAAUGUACUUGUGCUCAGGGAAGAUAUUUGCUAAUGUUUGGCUUUAAUUUCCCCUGGAACUUGUACACAUCAGUGAGGCCUGGGGAUAAUGAAUAACAGCAUGGACAAUAAAUUUUAAAACAAACAAAAUAAAAACUCAAAGAACAUUAAUGCAGACCAGUGCUGGGAUAUGAUGUGUGUUACAAGAGAGUAAUGAUUACUCUUGGUGAGCAGAUUCUAUUAUCUGCUUCUUAGGAGCAAUAGGUGGCUGCCUCUUGAUUGUAUUAGUCCUGGAGUUAUAAAAUCCUCAGUCCUUUACAAUGCAAAAGUGACACAUGGGGCGAGUAAGCAGGUAAGAGAAGGAGCAAUUGGAGGAAGAGAAAUGAGAUCUGUGGCAGGGGCUAUUGGCUUUCCACUAAAACCCAUUCUCUACUUCUUGCUGGGCAAGAACUAGGCAGUAUUUACCAGCCCCUCUUGCAUUUGGGGUGGCCACAAACGAAUUCUGGCCAGUGGAGUGAGGGGCUUCUCAGACAGCAGCCUGCCCCUUCCACACUCCUGUUCCCCUUGCAGUGGCUCAAAGCCCUUGGGUGAUGAUGGAGCCAUAGCUGGAAGAAGCCUGGGUCCCUGGGUCCCCCGUGGAGCCUCCACGCGGGAAGGUGGUCUAGAAAUACACUUCCAUAUUUCAGCCAGCAUGCCUUGGGAUCUUUUUUUAAUGGUGGUUCAGCCUACCCUAACUAAAGCUGGGCCCACUCAGCACGCCCCACACAGGGAUUCUGAAAUGGGAGCAGGGUCCACCAAAACUCUGCUUUUCAGAGAGCUCACACCCUAGGGGAGUAUAAAAGUGACGAGGACACUGGAGCUGGCAGGCAAGACCCAGGAUGCCAAAAUUAGGGCCCCUAAACACAGCAGGGAGGGUGAGCUAUCCUCUUGUGAGGUGGGAGGAGGGUCUCCGUGAGCAGGGCUCUUCUUGGGCCAAACCUGGAUCAUGAGGAGGAGGGAGAGAUGCUGAAUAUGACAUGUCAUUCAAAGUGCUGUCUGGAAAUUUGAGUUCGUUUCUUCAGUAGAGGCAGCACAGGUUAAUCAGACAAACCAGCCAUCAACAGGCUUCCUUUGAGGAGCUUGGUAAGAAUGGAAAACCCAGGGCUGAGGGGCUUACAGAGCUUACAGAGCAGCACAGUAUCAGGGGCCCAAGGCACCAGGAGCUCCUCUGGAAAUUGGCGGGAACAGCUGGAGCAAAGCCGAGGUGAUGGUACCCCUGGUGGCGGGACGGCAGCGACCCUCCAUGGUAUAAGGAGUGGUGAGACCCCAAGGGACAGUGUGCAAGGACUCUGAUGGCAGCAACACUCCUCUAGGAGCUGAUGAGAAAGGCCUGGAAUCCCAAGAUGCACCCCUGAGGUUCAACUCCUACCCUGAUCAUCUCCUCCAAGAUUCUGUGACCUGGGGAAGUCAACAGUACAUUUCAACACCUAUGAUGUCAGCAUGUGAAUGACAUUCCAAUGCUGCUCAUGGGGUCACCCCUGCAAAGGUGAACUCAGUGGAAAGACCUUGCCAAACCGGAAGGAAAACAGGAUACUUUUCUCCAAAAUACUCAUUCAAUAAAUAUUUGCUUAGGCAUUACAAAGACAAAUAAGACUUGCCCCUACCUGUUAGAGGUAUGUAUGUCGAGAAAAGGAAGGAGUGAUUCAAUAAGAGAAACAGCAUUCAGGGAAGAGAAAGAAGGAAGACAUAAAAAUUCAGGUCAUAUUAGAAUAAUAUAUAUAACAAUGAGUUUGGCUAUAUUUCAGAAUUUUCCCAAAAUAUUUCUUUCAAAUUUGAUUGACAUUCUAAACUAUUUAGCUUGAUAUAAAUGAGAUCUUUGUGUACCCUCAGCAGGAACUGCAUUUUAGCUGGUUUUAAAUCUCAACAAUCACUUUCCUGCCUUGGAGAAGGUAUGAACCAGGCUGUUUAUGUAGAAUCCAGGUGGGUUUGAGAGCAGCUUCAGCUGAAUGGAGAGUGACAGGGAGGCUGAGGAAGGGAGGGAGGGGACCCAUGGGCUGUCAUACCCGGGGACUUAGGAAGGCUCUUGCUCUUGCUGGAAGGGUUGCAAAUCCCUAAACCAAGUAAUCCCAUCCCUAAACCAAGUAAUCCCAUUAAAACAUGAAACAUCCAGAGUAAAAUUAAGUUUAGAAUACUAUUUGCAAAGCCAAACAUAGUCUUACCAUAGGAUCCAGGCAUCACACUCCUUGGUAUUUACCCAAAUGGGUUGGAAACUUCCAUAUAAAAAUCUGCACACAGGCCGGGUACGGUGGCUCACGCCUGUAAUCUCAGCACUUUGGGAGGCUGAGGCGGAUGGAUCACCUGAGGUCGGGAGUUCAAGACCAGCCUGACCAACAUGGAGAAACCCUAUCUCUGCUAAAAAUACAAAAUUAGCCAGGCGUGGUGGCACAUGCCUGUAAUACCAGCUACUCAAGGGGCUGAUGCAGGAGAAUUGCUUGAACCCAGGAGGCAGAGGUUGCGGUGAGCCGAGAUUGUGCCAUUGCACUCCAGCCUGGGCAACAAGAGUGAAACUCUGUCUCAUAAAAUAAAUAAAUAAAUAAAUAUAAACCUACACACAGGCCAGGCAGGGUGGCUCACCCUGUAAUCUCAGCACUUUGGGAGGCCGAGGCGGGUGGGGUGGAUCACGAGGUCAGGAGAUCAAGACCAACUUGGCCAAGACGGUGAAACCUCAUCUCUACUAAUAAUACAAAAAUUAGCUGGGCAUGGUGGCACAUGCCUGUAAUCCCAGCUACUCAGGAGGCUGAGACAGGAGAACCGCUUGAACCAGGGAGUCGGAAGUUGUGGUGAGCCGAGAUCACACCACUGCACUCCAGCCUGGUGACAGAGUGAGACUCUGUCUAAAAAAAAAACCUGCACACAAAUAUUCAUGGUAGCUUUAUUCAUACUUGCCAAAACCUGGAAGCAACCAAGAUGUCCUUCAAUAGGUGAAUGGGUAAAUAAACUGUGGUACAUCCAGACAAUGCAAUAUUAUUUGGUGAUUAAAAAAAAAGAAAUGAGUUAAAAUCUUGGAUUUCUUUUUUUUAAAUGAGUUAUAAAGCCACAGAAAGACCUUAAAUACAUAUUGUUAAGUGAAAGAAGCCAGCCUGCAAAGCUACAUCUAUACAUGACUGUAUGACAUUCUAGAAAAGGCAAAACUAUAGAGACAGUGAAAACAUCAGGGAUUGCCAGGGGUUAAGAGGGAAGGAAGGAUGAAAAGGCAGAGGACAGAGGAUUUUAAGGCCGGUGAAACAAUUCUAUAUCAUACCAGAAUGGUGGAUAUAUGGGCUGGGGCUCAGAAAACAAUACCCCCAAAUGAAUGCCUCAGAAGCAAAAGUUUCUCCUGCCCUCCCAUCCCUGACCUCAUUCUCCCCCAAGGUUAGCCAUAGAAACCAGAAGUCCUCUUUCCCAAGGUGGGUCAUAGAAACUUCCAAACCCCUUUUCCCCAAAGCCAGUCAUAAAACCUAAAAAUAUGACUCUAACUUCCACCCCCACCCCACCACCUUUCUGUGUAAAAAUGUGUCAUAAGGAAAUCAUCUAACCUGCCUUGUUUGGUUGUCGGUCGUAAGACCCCCAUUCGAGAGAGGGCCCUGCCCCGUACCCAGCAGGAAGCAAUGCUGCCCAGAGAGGCCACGAGGAAUCUAGACAGGGCUUGCUGGGGGGCCCCACUCACUCUAUGAGCAUUAGCUCAUUCCCUUUUUUGUCCAAUCACAUUUCUAAAUAUUUUGUUGCACCUAAGCUUAAAAGUGGGCAGAGUCCCCUGCAUCUCUGGGUCUUCGUUCUGAAGGCUCCCCUGUCAUGUAACACUAUGACCAAAUAGAUGUGUGUGCCUUUUCUCCUAUUCAUCUGCCUUUUGUCUGUUAAUUUUCAGUGAAACUUCAGAGGGUGAAGGGGAAGUUUUCCUUGGCCCCUACACGUGUCAUUACAAACCCAUAGAAUGUACAAUGCCAAGAGUGGACCUUAGUGCAAGCCAGGGACAUUAGUCAGUAAUAAUGUUCCACGCUGACGCACAAAUGAAAGUUAUUUUAUUUGUGUGAACAGGAGAGCUGACAUGGUCUGUAUUGAUAUCUCCUGGGCAGGGAGGUGGUGAGCACGGCCCCAGAAUUCUGAACUGCCAGGAGCCAGGCAGCUUUGCAUCCUGGAGCUUGGCCAAUUCAGCCGCCCAAGUUCUGGCCAUGGGUCUGCAGCCCCCUGGCCCUUGCCUGCAUAAGCAGGAGAUGAAUGAGAGGAAGCAGAACUCACACAGGAGGCAGGAGGAAGCCACCAGGAAGCUCACUGGCUCCAGGGGCAGCAGAUCUGGGAUGGGGUCCCAGUUCUCUCCUUCCUCAUUCAUGAAAUGGGGCAAUAACAGUACUUACUUCAUUGGAGGUUCUUGGAGGGAAUAAAAGAGAUAUUAGUUAAAGGCAUGGAGCACAGUCCCUGGCACACUGAAAAAGUUUCAUAAAUGUUACCAAUUAAUUGUUUGUAUUAUAUAAUGUCUUCCUGAUAGGUUUUUGGGAAGGAAUAAAUCAAAGGUGAGAAAAUAUAUACAAAAACCUGACUGAGCGAGAACAUAGCUUACACACAAGAAGUGGCAGCUUGGUGAGCACACUGCUAUGUCAUGUUGUGCCUAGUCAUGACAUAGCCAAGGACUGAUACAGGCGCUCCCAUAACCCAUGGAUGGAUUCCUGCUGGACUCUAUUCAUGAAGGUUCUGAUUCUAAUUUUUUUAAAUCCAUGGAUAAAACAGCUACCAGAAAAUCCCAUUUGGGUUUGCAUGUUGUUCUUUGGCUUCGGUGGACAGCAAUCAUAUCAGUUGCAUUUCCCGAGCUAGAGCUCUGAGGCUUAGUCAUCCCCCUCCCUGGCUGGCUUCCAUGCUGUCUGCAGUGGGAGCAUCUUUUAUGAGAUGACAGGAGGGGACUUCAUGGAUGUGCAGCCUGGGCUGCUGGUACUGCCGGGGCUGCUGGUACUGCUGGGACUGCAGGAGAGGGAUGGUUUCUAUUAAUCCUCACAAUGGGAGGGUCCAGUGGGCUGUCACAGCACAGGCAGGGAAUCACAGGCCUCCCUGGGUGACCAGCUGUCCUGGCUGCUACCAGAUUCGGACUCCAGCAGGCUUUCCCUGGGGGCAGAGAUGACCUUGAUCUCUGGGCAGCUAGGCUUCAUGUCCUUGAUAUUUGUGGCCCUGCAUUGUUGGGGCACAGGAUGCAGAGCUGGGGAUGACUGAGCUUAAACUCCUGCUGCUAUGGAGGGCUGCCUCCUUGCCCUGAAUGCCCUGGGAGCCCUUUUAAAAACACAGGUCCAAGGAGUGAUAACAUGAGGGGCAGCACCUCUGGCCCCUGAGAGAGAAACUUGUCCAGUGAUAUGUGCACAAGCAACAUCUCCAGGCAUUCCUUCCAGACAAGGCAAGAGGCCCCCCAGGUGUGAUAUGUUAGCUACACAUGGGCUUGGUCUGUACUGCAAAUGUGUACUCAGUGAUGGGGCCAUUAGAUAUUUGGUUUCUACAUUGCUGCGAUGAAAAUUUACAAAGAACGUUCAUGGGGAAACCAGCUCCCAUCCAUGGGCAGCAGAGGAAUGUUGUCCAAGACUUACAUGGACAGGUAAGACUAAGGUCUCAUCCCAUACUCAGCAGUUCUGUGACCUUUUACAGAACAUAGGGAGGCAAGAAGGGAAAUGAGCCUUAGUUAGCCUCAGGGAGAACCAAGCCAGGUCUGUUUAGGGUCACCACCUUCACUGAACUGCCCUCCACUGGAGGCUAGGAACUGCAGGACAUGAGUUCAACAUCAAAAUAGUAAAAAUAGUGGCAAAUGUUUAGCAGUGUUUGCAACAUAUCAGGUGUCACAGCAACCUCUGCAGGAGAGGUGAGCAGGGCUAAUAUUUAGCAGGUGCACCCUUGUACUGGCUGCCUGCCAUUUAAUAGGUUAGUGCCUCAGCUGGUUAUUGAAUAUUUUCAACAUCGGCCCUGGGUACUAAGAUUAGUUCCCAUUUUACUGAUUAGGAAAUCGAGGUUAAGAGAGGGUAGGCGAUUUGCCUGAGAUCACACAGCCUCGUGUGUGGCAGAGCCUUAGAUUCCAAGCCAGGCUGUCCGAUGCCAGACCUUCACAGCUAUCCUAUGCUUCCACGGCACCCCGGACUUCCCCUUGGAGCACUUGCCAGUGAAACAAACAUGCCCUGGAGAAAUGCCUGGGUGAGUGUGCCUUCUUCCUUGCACAGAGACGGGCCUCUUGCACCCUCUACUUUCCUACUGUGGCUGGGGUGAGGUGGCGGGUAGAAGGGCGUGGGUUGUAGCUCACUGUCUUCUUCAGGAGUCCCACAGUGGGUAGGAGCACCAGCUGUUCAACAAGAGAAGACCAUUAGGCUUCAGGAGGGAGAGGAAGUUUUUUUGGGAAUGAGAGGACCAAGAGAAAUGAGGCACAGGGGAGAUCGGCCCCAAGGCUUGUCCUGAAAAAAGAACAUCAUCUUCUUCUAAGGUCCCGAGCGUGGGAUUUAUCUGACACAUUCUUCCACAUGCUUAUUGCAGGAGGAGCGUUGUGUUAAGUGCUUUGCAUGCAUUAAUUAUCUCAUUUAAACCAAAACCAACCCAGUGUGGCUGAGUGACUAUAUGAUGUCCAUUUUACAGAUGAGGAAAGGGAGGCUGAGAGAGCUUAAAGGACACACCACUUUUGAGUGGCAGAGCUAGGAUGCAAACCAGACCUGACUGCUGUUAAAGCUUGUGAUGUUUGUAGUCAUUCUUCUAUACUGUACCCUCAUAGGAAGUUCAAAAACAGAGAGGGUGGGAUUUGGUCUUUGGCUUUUGUUUAAAUGUAUGUUUUUAUAGAUAUAUUUCCUUAGCCCAUGCUAUGAACCAGGAGUUUCCAUUUGUUUAUUUAACUGAUUUAUUAAGCCUUUUUAGGGGCCAGCCCAGGUUCUGGGCACAAGCUGGAGAAGGAGAGCUGCUGCGGUCCCUAACUCAUGCCUCUUGCGGCAGUGGGUGGGUGUGAAGAGGGAGGAGGGGAGGAGGUGGUGAGAAGUCUGCUUCACAUUAUUCAGAGUUUCCUGUGAGCCAGGCACUGUGCCUGGGGCUAAGUGAUUAUAUCAUUUAGCCCUCCCAAUAGACUCUCAGGUAGACGCUCUCUUAUUUCCACUUUUUCCCAUUUACAGAUGGGGAAAUGAAGACUUAAGAAACUUAGGUAAUCUGCCCAAAGGCUUAUAGCCAAUACAUGGUAAAGCUGAGAUGUGAACUCAAGUAUCUGACUCCAAAGCCUGGGUUUUUUCUCUUUCUCUCUCUCUUUUUUUUUUUUUUUUGAGACAGGGUCUCACUCCUUCACCCAGUCUGGAGUGCAGUGACAUGGUCAUAACUCACUGUAACCUCAAACUCCUGGGCUCAAGUGAUCCUCCUUUCUCAGCCUCCUGAGUAGCUGGGACUACAGGCACACACUUUUAUGCCUGGAUAAUUUUUGUACUUUUUUUGUAGACAGGGUCUUACUGUGUUGCCCAGGCUGGUCUGGAACUCCUAGGCUAAAAUGAUCCUCCUGCCUCAGCCUCCCAAAUUGCUGGGAUUACAGGUGUGAGCCACUGUGCCCGGUCAAAGCCUGUGCUUUGAUUUGCCACCUAAUCCUCCUCCGUUUUAUAUGUAAUGUUAACCCCAAACCUGCAGGGUAGCCGUUAUCAGCCUCAUUUAACUGACAGGGAAGCCCAGUCUCAGAGGGGCCAGAUGCGUGCCCAAGGCCUUGCUGGGAAGAAUGGGAUUCUGGGCCCAGGCAUUCCAGCGCCAAGUCCAGGGCGUGAUUGUUACUCUGCAGUCCCUCUCUGUGACAAGAGCCUCACCGGGAACUCGGGGGUGGGGGCUCCCCCAAGCCUCCUGGCUGGACCCCAUUCCAAGCGUUAGUGUAACAGAUGUUGUGUGGCGGGAGUCUGUUGUGCUCCUGGUGUGUGGCUGGGAUUCAGAGGUGUCUUCAAGCGCUCUAGGAAGCCGGCGGGCGGGGCCAUGGCCGCAGAAGUGAGUGCAGGGAUGGAGAAUACAGGGAGUCCCUUGACCGGAGGAGACUUUGGAGGCAUUUGUGCUGUUCGCGUGAACUCCGCGUCCAUGGCCUACCCUGUGAUUGUCAUCAUUUCUAUGUGAGAAAAAAGCGGCUACUGAUUCACAGCGAAAGGAAACGGACUAGGUUCUGAAACUUCCUGUUUGUCUGGUAUCUGCAAAGAUAUGUGUGUUAUGCAAAUACCCUGACUCCCCAGAACUGCAGGUGUGUACAAACACACACACGCACGCACACACACACACACACACACACACACACACACACCCUCUGCUUGGCCCCAUGCAGUGGGUCUCCUCUGUACCCAGUAAACUGAAACAUGACUCUACUAACAUGGUAGCCAGGACACUGGGGACUCUGCUGUCGGAAUCCCUGAUCAUAGAGACAGCAGCUUUGGCCUUCGGCUCAAAGAGCUUCACAGAUGUCCCUUGUAGGCGAGUCCUGGCUCUGGCUCCUGGCCCACUGCAGAGCCUGGGAGUGAGGCAGGCAGAUAGGCGAGGGGGUCUCACCCAGGCCCAGGAACUCCAUUUUCUCUCAGCCCCAUUCCUCCCUCCCUCGGCUCCCUGACCGUGCUGAACGCAGCUCCCAAGCAGGGGGAGAGUCCAGAUAAUGGCAGAUGUUGAUUGUUUCCUGUUGGUUCACUGUGUCCUUUUGGCAGGCCUUUCUUUCUUUCAAAAUAUAUUCAGGUUUGAGCCUAGCACUGCAGCUUGCUGAGUGGGUCUAUGCUUCCAUAGAGCAGUGGCUUCGGGCACAGGCCUGAGACCCAGCCUGCCUGCGGGCUGCUAGCUGCCAGCUACCUCUGCACUAGGAAGGUUUUUAAACAGCUGAAUGCAAGCUUCAGCGUUAAUAGGUGAAAGUGAAAAUGACAUGUGACUUCUAGACAAUUCUCAUAGAUUCAAAAUAAUUGUUCUCUGUAAUGAGUAAAAUAACACUCUUGCAACAGCUGAAUGCUUUUCUCAUAUUCUGAGUUGCCCGAAUUAGGGGAAAUGGGUCUAAAUGGCUGCAAGAGGCAGUUUUGUCAGCUAGACGUCUUUUUACAAGUAUAUUGCAUCCUUCAGUCUCUUCCUGCCCCACCCUAAGACCCUCACCUGGGAAAUGGGAGGAUGGCUUGGAAGGCAAUUGUCAGGCCUCUGAGCCCAAGCUAAGCCAUCAUAUCCCCUGUGACCUGUACAUACACAUCCAGAUGGCCCGGUUCCUGCCUUAACUGAUGACAUUCCACCACAAAAGAAGUGAAAAUGGCCUGUUCCUGCCUUAACUGAUGACAUUACCUUGUGAAAUUCCUUCUCCUGGCUCAUCCUGGCUCAAAAGCUCCCCCGCUGAGCACCUUGUGACCCCCACCCCUGCCCGCCAGAAAACAACCCCUUUGACUGUAAUUUUCCUUUACCUACCCAAAUCCUAUAAAACAGCCCCACCCCUAUCUCCCUUCGCUGACUCUCUUUUCGGACUCAGCCCGCCUGCACCCAAGUGAAAUAAACAGCCUUGUUGCUCACACAAAGCCUGUUUGGUGGUCUCUUCACACGGACGUGCGUGAAAGCGAUGAAGCUGAGGUUGCAGGAAAGGAGUGAUCACCUGGCUCAGAGCUGGGCCCUAAAAGUCUAGGCCAGAGCCUCCCUGUUGUGAAAGGGAGUGGAAGGAGAAGGGGCUGGGAUGGGUCAAACUGGGUGGAAAGCUAGGCUCUGCUGUUUAGAAGCUGUAUGAUCUUGAGCAAGUUGCUUAACCCUUGCUAAGCCUCAGUUUCCCUUCCUGCAGAAAGGGAUUAUCAUGGGGACGAAAGGGGAUCCAGAACCUGGAGUGGAGGAUAGGGUGGGUAAGUGGAAGGUGUCAUGAGGACAACAUAUGCUGAGACACUCACCACCCUUUCUGAGGGCGCCUCAGCAGCAGGUCACAUGGUGCCUGAAACUCGUUUUUCUGAGUUGUGCUGGUUUGUGGAAUGAAAAGGGAAGCCAGGCUUCCUUCUUACUAGCUCUGACUGCCUUGUUUUAAGGAUCAUUCACCUUCCCUAAGGAUGGGAUAAAGCCUUCCUGUAGAGCAGACCGAUCUCCUUCUUUAUCCCUACAGUUCUCCCACCGUGGCCAUGGCCUUGGGGGCUGUUCUGACUCUUACAUUUAUAUAUCACUCCUACUUUCCCAGCCAGCAGGAUAGAAAACCUGAGAAGGGAAUUCUGCCUUAUAAACAUUUCUUACAGAUGGGGCAGACAGGUUGUUUCUUUUUUACCAAGGAAGCUCAGGGCAAUUCUGGUUGCAGGAAUGUUAAGCACUGAUAAAGAAGAGAAGAAAAAAUAUUCACCCUCCAGGGCCUGGAAUUUCCCCAUUCCUGAGCCCUGGCUUCCCUGUCUGAGAUAGAGACUGUCAGUCAGUCACCUACCAAUUCCCAAUUUCUCUUUCUGCUUUACUAAAAGUACUUGAUUUGGGAUGGGGGUGGGGGGUGGCAGGCAGCAAUACAUCCAAGUAAAAGACUGUACUUCCCAAAUCUCUUGAAACUAGGGACAGCCAAUGAGGUAUAAAUGAAAAUUAUUGGGGCUGGGGUCCCAAAAGCUUCUCUCUCUUUUUUGAGACAGAGUCUCAGUUUGUCAUCUAGGCUGGAGUGCAGCAGCAGGAUCACAGCUGUAAAAUCAAAAGUGUCAAAGACAGGUCUCAAUCAAUUUAGAAAGUUCAUUUUGCCAAAGUUAAGAGCACACCUUUAACCUCAGGUGAUCCUGACAGCAUGUACCCAAGGUGGUUGGUGCCCAACUUGGUUUUAUACAUUUUAGGGAGCAUAAGGCAUCAAUCAAUAUGUGUAAGAUGUACAUUGGUUUGGUCUGGAAAGGUGGGACAACUGAAAGGUGGGACUUCCAAGUCAUAGGUGGAUUCAAAGAUUUUCUGAUUGGCAAUUGGUUGAAAGAGUUAUUAUCGAUAGAAAAGAAUGUCUGGGUUAUGAUGAGGGGUUUUGAAGGGAGGAGGGUAGAAUGAGGCAUGUCUGACUCCCCCUUCCCAUCAUGGCCUGAACUAGUUUUUCAGGUUAACUUUGGAAUGCCCUUGGCUAAGAGGAAGGGUCCAUUCAGAUGGUUGGCGGGGGGGCCUUAGAAUUUUAUUGUUGGUUUACGUGGCUCAGUGCAGCCUUCACCUCCUGGGCUCAAGUGAUCCUUCCAUCUCAGCCUCUUGAGUAGCUGUGGCCACAGGUGCAUGCCACCAUGCCUGGCUAACUUUUUUUUUUGGUAGAUAUGGGGUCUUGCCAUGUUGCCCAGGCUGGUUUUGAAUUCCUAAGCUCAAGUUAUCCUCCUGUUACAGGAAAGGGGUCCUGAUCCAGAUCCCAAGAGAGAGUUCUUGGAUCUCACACAAGAAAGAAUUCGAGGUGAAUCCAUAGAGUAAAGUGAAAGCAAGUUUAUUAGGAAAGUAAAGAAAUAAAAGAAUGGCUACUCCAUAGGCACAGCAGCUUCCAGGGCUGCUGGCUGCCCAUUUUUAUGGUUAUUUCUUGAUUAUAUGCUAAUUAUUUAGUGUUUGCAAAAAUAGCCAGGCUAUAAGGGGUGGAUUAUUCAUGAGUUUUGUGGAAAAGGGGUGGGCAAUUCCCAGAGCUGAGGGUUCCUCCCAUUUUUAGACCAUAUAGGGUAACUGCCAGAUCUUACCAUGGCAUCUGUAAACUGCCAUGGUGCUGAUGAGAGUGUCUUUUAGCAUGCUAAGGCAUUAUAAUUAGCAUAUAAUGAGCAGUGAGGACAAUCAGAGAUCACUCUUAUCACUAUCUUGCUUUUGGGGGGUUUUAACCAGCUUCUUUACAGCAGCCUGUUUUAUCAGCAAGGUCUUUGUGACCUGUUUCUUGUGCUGACCUCCUAUGUCAUCCUGUGACUUAGAAUGCCUACCCUUCUAGGAAUGCAGCCUAGUAGUUCUCAGUCUUAUUUUACCCAGCCCCUACUCAAGAUGGAGUCCCUCUGGUUCAAAUGCCUCUGACACUCCCACCUCAGCCUCCCAUAGUGCUGGAAUUACAGGCUUGAGCCACUGCACCUGGCCUUAAAAGCUUCUUAAAGGGAUCUAAGAAAUUGACUCUCCCCACCCUCUUUCUUAACCGUAAAACACUAAUGUAAUGGCUGGAGUUCUAGCAACCAUAUUGGGCCAUGAGGCAACCUUGAAAAAGGAAGCCACAAACUAAAACAUU
RNAcentral lists this long non-coding RNA (15624 nucleotides) under Homo sapiens (human). Its description in RNAcentral is "HSALNT0348675". The record is from RNAcentral. Lineage: Eukaryota; Metazoa; Chordata; Mammalia; Primates; Hominidae.